Non-coding RNA from Camellia sinensis, 434 nucleotides. Lineage: Eukaryota; Viridiplantae; Streptophyta; Magnoliopsida; Ericales; Theaceae. The record is from RefSeq and is a predicted model, not a curated record.
CAGCUCACACAUCCCCUUGCUUCCUUGUGAAAGAGGAAGACCAUAUUAUUGGUCAAUGCAGGCCAUUGUCAAAGACUGAGGUUUAAUGUGUUGAAAGUGAUUCCAGCUGGUUCUUCUGGUGGUGGGAAAAAGGCAUUUACAAUGUGAGUUUAGUGGAUCAACUUCAAUUAGAAUGUUUCUUUUGAUCUGUACUCUCUUAAGGUUUGAGUUUUUGUAUGUCGCCAAUUUACAAUUUUUUCAAUUUGUCAGUCAUAUAACUCGAGUGUGCAAUGUGGUGAAGUUGUCAUUGUUUGCUAGCUAGUAGUUUGUCCCUUUGGAAACAUUGCCUCACAUAGUAUACAUUUCUGUCGGAUUAUUGACAUUGCUUCUUGUAUUAUACAUUUCUCUGGGAUUAUUGUUGUUAUUAGUGAAGCAUUUGGAUUUUAUGUGGAGCA